Long non-coding RNA from Bactrocera latifrons, 958 nucleotides. RefSeq lists it as uncharacterized. The transcript is spliced from 3 exons. NCBI's taxonomy places the organism in Eukaryota, Metazoa, Arthropoda, Insecta, Diptera, Tephritidae. The record is from RefSeq and is a predicted model, not a curated record.
AAGGCAAAUAAAUCAAGUUUGGUCUACAUGAUUUGCAAAGACAAAAUGCCUCUAUCUUCUGUGAAAAAAUCAGGAUUGAUAAGAUUGAUGAGCGUCAUUUGGUUUCAUCACGAACUACAAUAGUUGGCUUAAUGGAACAACGAUAUGCCACUACCAAAGCCAMUGUAAAACAAAAAUUAAGUGAGAUAAAUAAUAGUGCUUUAACAAGUGAUAUAUUAACUCUUACGAACUCGACAUGAAGUUUCAUCGCAGUAACAGCGCAUUUUCUUAACACUGCAAAUAACUGCACUCCUGAAUCUGAACAUGAGAUGGUGAUAUUGACAGCACGAAGAAAGUAUAAGUUCUACACAGCACUGCUCAGAUGGGUUACCAAAAACUGCAUGCGUACGAUGACCUAGAGGUGAUGCCUCGGAGGCGGAAAAUACUGACAUCGGUUCCGGCGGCGGGUCAGGAAGGUUUGACGGCACAAUAAAUGGUAGAAAGAGUGGAUGGAACUAGUGUAAAAUGGCAACUGAGGGAGAGCAAAUCACCAACUGAAGCAAGGGCCCUAAUAUUGGAAAGUGUAGAAGGGAUAACAUUCCGCUAGGAGAACUGAGGCAUAUUAUUCCAAAUGCACCUGAGAAAAACAAGGUCUAUAUAAGCAAUCGUUAAAGGCGCAAACAUUUUAGGGCGGUAUUUUGAUAACUUUUCUCUACAUAUUUUUUAUUUAAAUAAAAUAAUUUACAACAUGUCUUCAUUUAUAUCAUAUGUAUAUAAGAAGAUCUGAUUCCGCGSCUUCGCUCGCGUGUUAUUUGGAACUGGGCGUUGUUGUCAAAGAUAUCAUGCGCUUAUCUCAAAUUCUGUUGGAUUUGUAAUGAAAGUCUGUUCAUUCGUUCGUUGUGUGUUCAAAAACCGCCUGGUUCACGAACAAUAAUCAGUAUAAUUCAUAAGCAUAUGUGUAUAAACAAAUAUUACUGAA